AACGCUAGCUACAGGCUUAACACAUGCAAGCCGAGGGGAAACGAUAUUGGAAGCUUGCUUCCGAUAGGCGUCGACCGGCGCACGGGUGAGUAACGCGUAUCCAACCUGCCCAUCACUUGGGGAUAACCUUGCGAAAGUAAGACUAAUACCCAAUGAUAUCUCUAGACGACAUCUGAAAGGGAUUAAAGAUUUAUCGGUGAUGGAUGGGGAUGCGUCCGAUUAGCUUGUUGGCGGGGUAACGGCCCACCAAGGCAACGAUCAGUAGGGGUUCUGAGAGGAAGGUCCCCCACAUUGGAACUGAGACACGGUCCAAACUCCUACGGGAGGCAGCAGUGAGGAAUAUUGGUCAAUGGGCGAGAGCCUGAACCAGCCAAGUAGCGUGCAGGACGACGGCCCUAUGGGUUGUAAACUGCUUUUAUAUGGGGAUAAAGUGAGCUACGUGUAGUUUAUUGCAGGUACCAUAUGAAUAAGGACCGGCUAAUUCCGUGCCAGCAGCCGCGGUAAUACGGAAGGUCCAGGCGUUAUCCGGAUUUAUUGGGUUUAAAGGGAGCGUAGGCCGCCCCUUAAGCGUGUUGUGAAAUGCCGCGGCUCAACCGUGGCACUGCAGCGCGAACUGGGGGGCUUGAGUGCACGCAACGCAGGCGGAAUUCGUGGUGUAGCGGUGAAGUGCUUAGAUAUCACGAAGAACUCCGAUUG
This 696-nucleotide ribosomal RNA is filed under the name uncultured bacterium. Its description in RNAcentral is "bacterial SSU rRNA". It matches the Rfam family "Bacterial small subunit ribosomal RNA", at positions 32 to 715 of the family's 1533-position model. The record is from RNAcentral.